RNAcentral lists this unclassified non-coding RNA (312 nucleotides) under plant metagenome. Its description in RNAcentral is "partial contains 5.8S ribosomal RNA, internal transcribed spacer 2, and large subunit ribosomal RNA". The stretch from base 1 to 104 matches the Rfam family "5.8S ribosomal RNA", at positions 50 to 154 of the family's 154-position model. The record is from RNAcentral.
GAAAUGCGAUACGUAAUGUGAAUUGCAAAUUCAGUGAAUCAUCGAGUCUUUGAACGCACAUUGCGCCCCCUGGUAUUCCGGGGGGCAUGCCUGUCCGAGCGUCAUUUCUGCCCUCAAGCACGGCUUGUGUGUUGGGCCCCGUCCUCCGAUCCCGGGGGACGGGCCCGAAAGGCAGCGGCGGCACCGCGUCCGGUCCUCGAGCGUAUGGGGCUUUGUCACCCGCUCUGUAGGCCCGGCCGGCGCUUGCCGAUCAACCCAAAUUUUUAUCCGGGUUGACCUCGGAUCAGGUAGGGAUACCCGCUGAACUUAAGC